UUUGGAGGUAGUAUAAAUAAGUAUUCCCGUCUUACACACGGGAGGUGUUGGAAUAUCGGCUCUCUGAAG
Molecule: transfer RNA, 69 nt
Filed under: Anadara vellicata
Lineage: Eukaryota; Metazoa; Mollusca; Bivalvia; Arcoida; Arcidae
Description: tRNA-Val
Source: RNAcentral